Molecule: long non-coding RNA, 578 nt
Organism: Colossoma macropomum (tambaqui)
Lineage: Eukaryota; Metazoa; Chordata; Actinopteri; Characiformes; Serrasalmidae
Exons: 3
Source: RefSeq, a predicted model, not a curated record
GACAGACCUGGACAUGGAAGCAGGUGUGGAUACGCCAUCAGCAUCAGAGAGCUGGUUAUUUACCGAAGGUGUUAUAAAUUACAGGAGUGAAUGUUUAUUUCGGCUUUGACGUCCAGCAGGAAUUCCUCAGCCAAUCACUUAUAAGAAUGGACGUCAAGUCACUUCUGAGGGGUUUCAGACCAGGAAGAAUGGCAUACAGUAUAUCACAACUGUGGCAUAAUUACCCCAUGACAAAUGGAGAGUUCACAUUGCCCUGAAAGCCUAUUGUUGUGCUGUGGAAACAUACAGCCGAAACAGAGAGCAGUACUUCUCAGGAAACACAUGGAUUUAGGAUUACCUCACCAGCUGAUUCAUAAAACUCAACCUAUGACGUAUAACAGAUCCUUACCGACUCUGAAGCCCAUGCCAAAGUAUCGCCUCUGUGGAGAAGCUAAAUAGCACAACCACUCAGCGAUCUUCUGAGGAAUUCAUACUACAAAUUUCUCCUUUGUGUUGGUCCCUGAAAGAGUUCAAAACUGUUUCUCCAACGCUUUUUUCAAAAACUCAGACUGUUUUCCAAAGCAGAAGUGGCCCAGCCA